GUGCAAGAUGGGCGAAAUCGCCUUAAGUUGAUCCUGGGCUCAGAAUAACGUUGGCGGCGUGCCUCAGACAUGCAAGUCGAACGCGAAAGUUCCCUUCGGGGAGCAAGUAGAGUGGCGCACGGGUGAGUAACACGUAGGUAAUCUACCUUCGGAUGGGGAAUAACAACCGGAAACGGUUGCUAAUACCGCAUAAUGCAGCGGCACCUAAUGGUGACAGUUGUUAAAGCGGGGGAUCGCAAGACCUCGCGUCUGAAGAGGAGCCUGCGGCAGAUUAGCUAGUUGGUAAGGUAACGGCUUACCAAGGCGAUGAUCUGUAGCCGGCCUGAGAGGGCGGUCGGCCACACUGACACUGACAUACGAGUCAGACUCCUACGGGAGGCAGCAGUCGGGAAUUUUGGGCAAUGGGCGAAAGCCUGACCCAGCAACGCCGCGUGAAGGAUGAAAUCCCUCGGGAUGUAAACUUCGCAAGAACAGGAAGAAUAAGUGAGAGUUAAUAUCUCUUACGAUGACGGUACUGUUUGUAAGCUCCGGCUAACUCCGUGCCAGCAGCCGCGGUAAUACGGGGGGAGCAAGCGUUGUUCGGAUUUACUGGGCGUAAAGGGCGCGUAGGCGGCCACCGCAAGUCGACUGUGAAAUCUCCGGGCUUAACUCGGAAAGGUCAGCCGAUACUGCGGGGCUAGAGUGCAGAAGGGGCAACUGGAAUUCUCGGUGUAGCGGUGAAAUGCGUAGAUAUCGAGAGGAACACCUGCGGCGAAGGCGGGUUGCUGGGCUGACACUGACGCUGAUGUGCGAAAGCUAGGGGAGCGAACGGGAUUAGAUACCCCGGUAGUCCUAGCCUUAAACGAUGAAUGCUUGGUGUCUGGGGUUUUAUAGUCCCCGGGUGCCGUCGCUAACGCUUUAAGCAUUCCGCCUGGGGAGUACGGUCGCAAGACUGAAACUCAAAGGAAUUGACGGGGACCCGCACAAGCGGUGGAGCAUGUGGUUCAAUUCGACGCAACGCGAAAAACCUUACCUGGGUUUGACAUGUCGGUGGUAGGAAACCGAAAGGGGCCCGACCCCGCAAGGGGAGCCGACACAGGUGCUGCAUGGCUGUCGUCAGCUCGUGUCGUGAGAUGUUGGGUUAAGUCCCGCAACGAGCGCAACCCUCGCCCCUAGUUGCCAACGGGUCAGGCCGGGAACUCUAGGGGGACUGCCCCGGUUAACGGGGAGGAAGGUGGGGAUGACGUCAAGUCAUCAUGGCCUUUAUGUCCAGGGCUACACACGUGCUACAAUGGCCGGUACAAAGGGUCGCAAACGCGCGAGCGGAAGCCAAUCCCAAAAAGCCGGUCCCAGUUGGGAUCGCAGUCUGCAACUCGACUGCGUGAACGCGGAAUCGCUAGUAAUCGCGAAUCAGCAGGUCGCGGUGAUACGUUCCCAGGUCCUCACUCA
This 1428-nucleotide ribosomal RNA is filed under the name uncultured bacterium. RNAcentral describes it as "bacterial SSU rRNA". It matches the Rfam family "Bacterial small subunit ribosomal RNA". The record is from RNAcentral.